UUGCUUGCUUUGGCAUUAUAUACGCUAAAAUUGGAACAAUACAGAGAAGAUUAAAAUGGACCCCAUGCAAAAGUGACACACAAAUUUGAAAAGCAUUCCAUAAAGAA
Small nuclear RNA from Ictidomys tridecemlineatus (thirteen-lined ground squirrel), 107 nucleotides. The record is from Ensembl. Lineage: Eukaryota; Metazoa; Chordata; Mammalia; Rodentia; Sciuridae.